Molecule: non-coding RNA, 151 nt
Filed under: Streptomyces sp.
Lineage: Bacteria; Bacillati; Actinomycetota; Actinomycetes; Kitasatosporales; Streptomycetaceae
Source: RNAcentral
GCGAUGUACCUGACACGCGGUACCUUCUCUUCGAUAGCGACGACGGCGAAGCGGAAGCCGGUGGAAAUCCGGCACGGUCGCGCCACUGUGUGCGACACGCCCCCCGGGGUGUGUCGUGAGUCAGACCCGCGGCCGUCGUCCUGUGCACCAC